AACUUUCAACAGCGGAUCUCUUGGUUCUGGCAUCGAUGAAAAACGCAGCGAAAUGCGAUAAGUAAUGUGAAUUGCAAAAUUCAGUGAAUCAUCGAAUCUUUGAACCCACAUUGCGCCCGCCAGAAUUCUGGGGGGCAUGCCUGUUCGAGCGUCAUUU
RNAcentral lists this ribosomal RNA (157 nucleotides) under Parengyodontium album. Its description in RNAcentral is "5.8S ribosomal RNA". It matches the Rfam family "5.8S ribosomal RNA". From Rfam's summary of the family: 5.8S ribosomal RNA (5.8S rRNA) is a component of the large subunit of the eukaryotic ribosome. It is transcribed by RNA polymerase I as part of the 45S precursor that also contains 18S and 28S rRNA. The record is from RNAcentral. Lineage: Eukaryota; Fungi; Ascomycota; Sordariomycetes; Hypocreales; Cordycipitaceae.